This 497-nucleotide ribosomal RNA is filed under the name uncultured bacterium. RNAcentral describes it as "partial 16S ribosomal RNA". It matches the Rfam family "Bacterial small subunit ribosomal RNA", at positions 28 to 507 of the family's 1533-position model. The record is from RNAcentral.
GACGAACGCUGGCGGCGUGCCUAAUACAUGCAAGUUGAGCGAUGAAGAUUGGUGCUUGCACCAAUUUGAAGAGCAGCGAACGGGUGAGUAACGCGUGGGGAAUCUGCCUUUGAGCGGGGGACAACAUUUGGAAACGAAUGCUAAUACCGCAUAACAACUUUAAACAUAAGUUUUAAGUUUGAAAGAUGCAAUUGCAUCACUCAAAGAUGAUCCCGCGUUGCAUUAGCUAGUUGGUGAGGUAAAGGCUCACCAAGGCGAUGAUACAUAGCCGACCUGAGAGGGUGAUCGGCCAAAUUGGGACUGAGAAACGGCCCAAACUCCUACGGGAGGCAGCAGUAGGGAAUCUUCGGCAAUGGACGAAAGUCUGACCGAGCAACGGCGCGUGAGUGAAGAAGGUUUUCGGAUCGUAAAACUCUGUUGGUAGAGAAGAACGUUGGUGGGAGUGGAAAGCUCAUCAAGUGACGGUAACUACCCAGAAAGGGACGGCUAACUACGUG